GCGCAGAGCGCGUGCCAGGGCGGGGGAUGGCGAGGGCGCGCCAAUGGAGGGGGCGGGGCUCAGCAACCUCGCGGCGCGGAAGGGUUUCGUUGCUAGGGAGAUGGGCUGAGCCGGGCGGGCAUCGCGCCAGACCUGCUACUCUGGAUAAUCCACUCUCCUGGAUAAUCCACUACCCUGGAUAAUCGGCUGCCCGCUUUUGCGCAUGUUAGGGAGUUGACGGCCUGUAGCAUUCUGAUGCAGCAAAAUAUUUCGCAGGGUCUGUCAUAGGGAUCUCCGGUGAGAGGAGGUUCCCUUCGAAGGCAGAACUGGAAACCUUGCUGCUAACUUGGUAGGGUUGUUGAGAUAAUUACAUGAGAUGGCAUAUGAAGGGCGGCUUAGUUCAAUACCUGGCAUGUAGUAGGUGUUCAGUGGGCGUAGUUACCGGAUUGAUUCAGAUAGUCUGAACGCCAGUGUCUCUUGAAAGAAAUAAACUGGCCGGGCGUGGUGACUGUAAUCCCAGCACUUUGGGAGGCCGAGGUGGGCGAAUCACUUGGGGUCAGGAGUUUGAGACCAGCCUGGCCAGCGUGGUGAAACCCCGUUUCUACUAAAAAAAAAAAAAAAAAUACAAAAAUUAGCCGGGCAUGGGGGCGGGCGCCUGCAAUCCCAGCUGCUUGGGUGGCUGGGCGGGCUCCUGCAAUCCCAGCUACUCGGGAGGCUGAGGCAGGAGAAUCGCUUGAACCCCGGGGUCGGGGGCGGAGGCGGAGGUUGCAGUGGGCCGAGAUCACGCCAUUUUCUGGGCGAGAGAGCGAGACUCCGUCUCAAAAAAAAAAAAAAAAACCAUGAAAGAAAUAAGCUCAGUGAAGGCGGGCAUUCUGCCUGGCUAACGCAGGUCGCUCCUUGCCGUGCCUGGAACAUUACUGUAAGUGCUCAGCAAACUACUUUAAGGUAGGAAUAAAAUCUGCAAGGUUGCUUUUGUUUAAAUUGGAUAACCUUUUGUGUUCCAAGUCUUUGGAGUAAUUUUGUGUUCCAAGUCUUUGGAAUAAUUGUGUCCUUAAUUAUUAUACUAGUCACUGUUAAAUUUUGAAACUCCAGUGCGUCCCAUGAAGGUAAUGAUACAAAACAUUUCCAGCUGGGAUUGUUCCAGGGAAUCCAGACUAAUCAAUUAUCUGGGCUCAUUAUAUCUAUGGAUCUUUAUUUUUCACCUCUUUCCUUAUGUUUUUCUUAAUCCUUCUAGCUGAUAGUGAUCACUCCCUUUAAAACUGUCAUUCUUAAAAUCAGAACAACAUAGUUUAUCAUUUACUUAUUAUUUUCUUCAUGUGAUUGUUCUCCUUAAUUAAGAAUAAAAUCAUUGAAGGAAAGACCUUAAUUUUUUUUUUUUUGUACCCUUCAGGGUGUUGAAAGCAGCAGGGGCCUAGAAGACAUUAAACCGAUACCACAGAAAUACAAAGGAUCAUUAGAGACUAUUAUGAACAACUAUAUGCCAACAAAUUGGAAACCAAAUGGAAAUGGAUAAAUUCCUGAACAGAUACAACUUACCAAAAUUGGACCAAGAAGAAAUAGAAAACCUGAAAAGACCAACUAUGAGUAAUGAGAUUAAAUCAGUAAUAUAGAGUCUCCCAUCAAAGAAAAGUCCAGGCCCUGAUGGCUUCACUGCUGAAUUCUACUGAACAGUUAAAGAAGAACUCAUACCAGUUCUCAAACUCAUCCUGUGAGGGCAGCAUUACCCUGAUACCAAAACUAGAUAUGGACACAAGAAAAAAAAUCUAUAGGCCAGUAUCCCUGAUGAACAUAGAUGCAAGAAUCCUCAACAAGACCAGGUGUGGUGGUUCAUGCCUGUAAUCCCAGCACUUUGGGAGGCCAAGGCAGGUGGAUCACCUGAGGUCAGGAAUUUGAGACCAGCCUGGCCAACAUGGCAAAACCCUGUCUGUACUAAAAAUACAAAAAUUAGCCGGGCAAGGUGGCGUGUGCCUGUAAUCCUAGCUACUUGGGAGGCUGAGGCAGGAGAAUUGCUUGAACCUGGAGGGAGGAGGGGCAGAAGUUGCAGCGAGCUCAGAUCGUCCCACUGCACUCCAGCCUGGGUGACAGAGUGA
RNAcentral lists this long non-coding RNA (2069 nucleotides) under Homo sapiens (human). RNAcentral's name for it is "non-protein coding lnc-SHCBP1L-1:3". The record is from RNAcentral. Lineage: Eukaryota; Metazoa; Chordata; Mammalia; Primates; Hominidae.